CUAUUAAUAACCCCAAAAACACCCAACACCAAAUAAACAAACCAUUUUUCCCCCUAAGUAUGGGCGACAGAAAAGGAGCACUAUAAGAGCAAUAGAAAAAGUACCGCAAGGGAAUGCUGAAAAAGAAAUGAAACAAAUCAGUAAAGUUAAAAAAAGCAGAGAUUCAUUCUCGUACCUUUUGCAUCAUGAUUUAGUCAGUAAAGAACAAGCAAAAAGCACUUUAGUUUGAUUCCCCGAAACUAAGUGAGCUACUCCAAGACAGCCUAAAAAUUAGGGCCAACCCGUCUCUGUGGCAAAAGAGUGGGAUGAUCUUAGAGUAGAGGUGACAGACCUACCGAACUUAGUUAUAGCUGGUUGCUUGAGAAAUGAAUAGAAGUUCAGCUUUUUAGCUUCUUUCCUCAACUUGUUAUAACUAUAACCGAACUAAAGAAACCAAAAAAGUUAAUUAAAGGGGGUACAGCUCCUUUAAACAAGACACAACUUCACCAGAAGGGUAUAGAUCAUAAUAACCAAGGUAAUAUGUUUUAGUGGGCCUGAAAGCAGCCACCUGUAAGAAAGCGUUAAAGCUCAUUCAUACCGCCACCUUAAAUCCAGAUAAUAUAUCCAAACCCACUAAUUUUAUCAAGCCGCCCCAUGCCUACAUGGGGGCGAUUAUGCUAAUAUGAGUAAUAAGAAAAGCCACCUUUUCUCCUUGCACUUGUGUAAAUCGAAACGGACCCCCCAUCGAACAUUAAUCGGCCCCAAAAAAAGAGGGUAAUGAACCACAACCUAUUAACAAGAAAAACACCCACACAUUUACCGUUAACCUCACACUAGCGUGCUUACAAGGAUAAGACUAAAAGAAAAAGAAGGAACUCGGCAAAUACAAGCCUCGCCUGUUUACCAAAAACAUCGCCUCUUGACAACCAAACAUAAGAGGUCC
This 922-nucleotide ribosomal RNA is filed under the name Betta albimarginata. Its description in RNAcentral is "partial 16S ribosomal RNA". The stretch from base 159 to 661 matches the Rfam family "Bacterial large subunit ribosomal RNA", at positions 573 to 1301 of the family's 2925-position model. Lineage: Eukaryota; Metazoa; Chordata; Actinopteri; Anabantiformes; Osphronemidae. The record is from RNAcentral.